GAAAUCCCUGGGGUUUUGACUUCCUAACGGCUUGGCUACCAUAAAGGUCCACCAAAGCUAUUGAUGGAACUGAGUGCCAUUCAGGAUGAUGAUGUCAACAGAAAAAGAAGAAUACUCUUGGUAGAUAAGAACAGUUCAGGGAAACCUCCUGGAUAAAGUGGAAUGUGAGAAGACUACGUCUGCAAAAUACUACGUAUCCUCUGACUUCAGUGGUGGAAGAGCAAAUACAGUUGAAGAGAAUCUUCUGAAAACACCACCACUGCCAGCAGAGGAUGAAAUAAAAAUCAAAGUCACCUGAAAGAGAAAUACUCUCUAGGAAUUACCAUGCAUCAUCAAUCAUUAAUAAUAUGAGGCAUAGGUAAAUUUUAACACACAGGGAAGUGACCUUCUUUAAAGAAAUCCAGGGGUUCUGCAUGACUAACUUAAAAAUUUAGUUAAAAAAGAGAAAAGAGUAUCAGGUAUAUUCUUGGACUGUUCCUUUUCCUCAAGCCAU
This is a long non-coding RNA of Strigops habroptila (Kakapo), 493 nucleotides long. RefSeq lists it as uncharacterized. The transcript is spliced from 4 exons. The record is from RefSeq and is a predicted model, not a curated record. NCBI's taxonomy places the organism in Eukaryota, Metazoa, Chordata, Aves, Psittaciformes, Psittacidae.